UGUUAGAAUUAUACCAUAAAACAUGAUAUAAAUGAAUUAAGAAGAAGAGCGCUGUUCUUACAAAUGAAACUACAAUAUCUUAUCAUUUCGCGAAGCGGCAUAAAAGGUUAUCUUUCUCUAGACAAGAGUGUUCAACUGUUUGAACGAGUUAGGUAUAUCUCAGCAAGAUAAAAAUUUGGGAUAUUAAUGGACGGGAUGGGUAUUUCGCUGUUCACGGCCAGACGCAGCGAGGAGCUUAUAAAAAACCAUUAAGGGGACGAUGUGAUAUGGUUUAAGAUACAUAACAUAGAAUUCACCAUCUCGUCCAGCAAAAGGCUGCGCCGGAUCAGCGGUAGUAGUAUGCCAAGAACCCAACAAACUAUGGAUACAUGGGAUGAAAUGCAUUAUUGAUAAAUAAAAUAUUUUAUUUAUUUAUUUAUAUAUUAAAUAUAUUAUUGUAAAUGCAUACAAUACUAAAUGAAAGGUUCCAACAUGUUUCAUGAAAUGCUCAAUUCCGCGCAAUUAGAAGUGAAAAUCAUAAAAUCUGACUUAACCGAUGUUGGACAACCACAUACAACAUGUUGUAACCCUUCUUAUCUGUUUUCCAGAAAUGUACAUAGAUUCGCAUAAGACGUUUUAUCUUAUCGACCGUUUAAUCGCACUUGGUGAUCUUGAAAAAGCACACUAUUGAGAUAAUAAUAUAUCUAUAUAUUAAUACGUGAAGCAAAAACUUGUAUCCCUUUUUACGAAAAUUGCGCGGACGGGGGAGUAUGAAAUUUUCCACACUUAUAGAGAAUAUAGAGAAGAAGUGCACAAUGCUAAUAUAUUUUUUAAAUAAUGCAUAUAAGAUACAUUAAAUCAAUAAAGAAAACAUUACACACACUACAUACCAUGUAUUUGACGCACACACGCUUGCACACUAUUUAUUGUGAAACUUUUGUUCUUGACGUCUGUUGUCAAAUUGAGAAUAAAUUAAAUAUUGUUUGCCUUUGUUAAUAUUUUUUAUAGUGUAGUCUUAGCGAAAUUUGUGGUUAUAGAAGUAUAAAAUACAAUCAUAAUAGUGUACAAACUUACAGUUCCAAUUAUUUAUAGUCGAAUUUCGACUACUGCGGGACCUCUAGUUCAAAUAACUUUGUAACUUUUUUAUUGUCCGUGUAGGCAGACGAGCAUACGGUCUGAUGGUGAGUGAUUACCGUCGCUAAUGGACGUCGGCAAUCCCAAGGCCAAAGCCAAGCCGCUGCCUUUUUUACUCUCCACAAGCCUCGUUUGAAGAAGGACAUGUCCUAGCAUCAUUUAUUAAUUAAUCAAAAUGAUAUGAGACACCAUUAGUUGAGGUACCAUUAGUAGUAUAGCUAUAGGUAGGCAGUAUAACUGGCAGUAGGCCAGUAGUAAAACAAUAUUCCAGUCGAUGAAUAAUUCACCUUAAUCAUCUGUGACCGGGAAAGCUGUAAAGUAUUUAAAACGUCACAAAUAAUAUAUACACAAUUUAAAAAAAGCGAGAUUAAAUCUUUACAAUUUAAUUAUGACCGUAUAGGUCUUUUUUUAUACAUAUUUGUGCUAUAAUAACUCAUCCCAGUAUUGGAAAACUUGUCGCAAAAUAGUUUAUUAUAAAUAUAACAAAACAUAAAUAAAAUGUUCCUGACAACAAUAUCUAAUGAUUUUUUUCAAAUUAGGGAAAGAUAUACUGUGACAUAUUUAAUAUAAAGUUCAUAAGAGAAUAAACAGUUGAAGAGAGAUAUAUGUACGCCCAACUGAAAUAAUGUUUUUUUUUUAUUUGCAUUUAUCACAAACUCAUCAAUUUGUAUAGGUUCCAAUGUAGGCGUUGCAAUUCGGACAGUAAUGAGUAGCAUUUUGACAGCUUUCCAUGCAGUAAGGGAUGCAAGCACAUGGCCAGCAUC
This is a long non-coding RNA of Bombyx mori (domestic silkworm), 1877 nucleotides long. RefSeq lists it as uncharacterized. NCBI's taxonomy places the organism in Eukaryota, Metazoa, Arthropoda, Insecta, Lepidoptera, Bombycidae. The transcript is spliced from 2 exons. The record is from RefSeq and is a predicted model, not a curated record.